CUCAGUAACACGUGGAUAAUCUGCCCCUUAGGUGGAGGAUAAUCUCGGGAAACUGAGGAUAAUACUCCAUAGAUCUAGGAUGCUGGAAUGCAUCUAGAUUGAAAGCUCCGGCGCCUAAGGAUGAGUCUGCGGACUAUCAGGUUGUAGUCAGGGUAAAGACCUGACUAGCCUACGACGGAUACGGGUUGUGAGAGCAAUAACCCGGAGACGAUAUCUGAGACACGAUAUCGGGCCCUACGGGGCGCAGCAGGCGCGAAAACUUCACACUGUGCGAAAGCGCGAUGAGGGAAUCCCAAGUGUUUGCUCGUAAGAGUAAACUGUUUCUUUGUUUAAAACGCAGAGAGAGUAAGGGCUGGGUAAGACGGGUGCCAGCCGCCGCGGUAAUACCUGCAGCUCAAGUGGUGAUCAUUAUUAUUGGGCCUAAAACGUCCGUAGCCGGUUUAGUAAAUGCCUGGGUAAAUCGUGUAGCUUAACUAUACGACUUCCGGGUAGACUACUAAACUUGAGACCGGGAGAGGCUAGAGGUACUCCUGGGGUAGAGGUGAAAUUCUGUAAUCCUAGGGGGACCACCAGUGGCGAAGGCGUCUAGCUAGAACGGGUCUGACGGUGAGGGACGAAGCCCUGGGGCACAAACCGGAUUAGAUACCCGGGUAGUCCAGGGUGUAAACGCUGCUUGCUUGAUGUUAGUUGGGCUCCGAGCCCAACUAGUGUCGGAGAGAAGUUGUUAAGCAAGCUGCCUGGGAAGUACGGUCGCAAGGCUGAAACUUAAA
Molecule: ribosomal RNA, 770 nt
Filed under: uncultured archaeon
Lineage: Archaea
Description: bacterial SSU rRNA
Rfam family: Archaeal small subunit ribosomal RNA
Source: RNAcentral